GGCAAGUCCCCCUGACCGGGGCRUGUCCGUAGCGGGUGCGAGGCCCAUARCCGCCAGUUCCGUCUCGGAUGCGAUCUCCUGGGAGUCGGGUUGCUUGGGAGUGCAGCCCUAAUCGCGUGGUAAACUCCACGUAAGGCURAAUACCCCCGUGAGACCGAUAGCAAACAAGUACCGUGAGGGAAAGUUGCAAAGAACUUUGAAGAGAGAGUUCAAGAGUACGUGAAACUGCUCAGAGGUAAACGGGUGGGCCCUCGAAAUCCUGUGGCGAGAGGAUUCAGUCUGGAGCUGCGGACGCUUAUGCGGAAGUUUUCGGUAGGGCUUCCCCGCAACGGGGCCGUCCGGAAUAGCGUCUUCCGCGGUGCCAGACGCAUUUGUCUCUCGUYCGAAGGACGCCGCAGCCGGUCGGGCAGUGCAAGCGCGUCGGCCUGAAGGCCGGGAACUGGCAGGUGGCCGGUGGCGAGUCUCGACUCUCCGGCGGUUGUUAGCCGUCCCGGCAGUGGCUCGACGCCCGACCGUGGUGUCGCGAGGCCCUUUCGGGGCCUCUUCGUCUCCACCCCAGAGGCCCGGGACAGACGGUCGCAGGCGAACUCCGCUGUCGCGUCGMACUCCUCGGAGUGGGCCCGCAAACGGAGGGCGCCGUUGGUGGCCACGGACCCGCUGGGGACCGGAGGCUAGCGGCGAGUAGGUCGGUCACCCACCCGACCCGUCUUGAAACACGGACCAAGGAGUCUAACAUGUGCGCGAGUCAAUGGGUCUUGAACAGGCCCAUGGGCGCAAUGAAAGCGAAAGUCGGCCUCCGCGUCGACUGAGUCGGGAUCCCCUCUUUUAAAACAGAGGGGCGCACCGACGACCCGUCCUAUUC
RNAcentral lists this ribosomal RNA (862 nucleotides) under Sittisax ranieri. RNAcentral describes it as "partial 28S ribosomal RNA". It matches the Rfam family "Eukaryotic large subunit ribosomal RNA", at positions 180 to 776 of the family's 3401-position model. Lineage: Eukaryota; Metazoa; Arthropoda; Arachnida; Araneae; Salticidae. The record is from RNAcentral.